This 497-nucleotide ribosomal RNA is filed under the name uncultured bacterium. Its description in RNAcentral is "partial 16S ribosomal RNA". It matches the Rfam family "Bacterial small subunit ribosomal RNA", at positions 28 to 507 of the family's 1533-position model. The record is from RNAcentral.
GAUGAACGCUGGCGGCGUGCCUAAUACAUGCAAGUCGAGCGAACAGAUAAGGAGCUUGCUCCUUUGACGUUAGCGGCGGACGGGUGAGUAACACGUGGGUAACCUACCUAUAAGACUGGGAUAACUUCGGGAAACCGGAGCUAAUACCGGAUAACAUUUGGAACCGCAUGGUUCUAAAGUGAAAGAUGGUUUUGCUAUCACUUAUAGAUGGACCCGCGCCGUAUUAGCUAGUUGGUAAGGUAACGGCUUACCAAGGCGACGAUACGUAGCCGACCUGAGAGGGUGAUCGGCCACACUGGAACUGAGACACGGUCCAGACUCCUACGGGAGGCAGCAGUAGGGAAUCUUACGCAAUGGGCGAAAGCCUGACGGAGCAACGCCGCGUGAGUGAUGAAGGGUUUCGGCUCGUAAAACUCUGUUAUUAGGGAAGAACAAACGUGUAAGUAACUGUGCACGUCUUGACGGUACCUAAUCAGAAAGCCACGGCUAACUACGUG